This 457-nucleotide long non-coding RNA is filed under the name Anser brachyrhynchus (Pink-footed goose). Its description in RNAcentral is "lncRNA (ENSABRG00000006203.1)". Lineage: Eukaryota; Metazoa; Chordata; Aves; Anseriformes; Anatidae. The record is from RNAcentral.
UACAUAUUUCAUUGGCCUUCAACGCUCUUAUAAGAAAGCAUCAUUCAAAAGUCUUGCUUGCUGGUUCAUUUAAUCUCUCUCUCUCUUUUUUUUUUUUUUUUUUAAAGGAACUUGGGAAAUGAUCCAUCUGCAUUCUUUAUUAGGAAGCAUUUUAUUCCAAAUGAAAAGAGACAAAUCAAAUUUUAUGCAGUGAAAUUUCCUUUGCCAAAGAAAUCAUAUCCUGAUUUGCCAUAUUGCCUCAGAGGAGAUAGAAAUUGUCCUAUUUAUGUUCAACUGUGGUGAGAGAAUACAGACAAACAACAUCAGAAACUGAAGCCAUAUGGUCACACAGCAGGAAGACAUAGGACAAUCUGUGCAAAUUGUUUCACAUUGUACAGAGUCUUACCACAGAUCUGAGGCUCUCAUUAUUAGAAAGCACUGUUGAAGACUGCCAGUACUAGGGAAUGGAAUCAUUUAC